Apis laboriosa (Himalayan honeybee) is the source of this 1195-nucleotide long non-coding RNA. RefSeq lists it as uncharacterized. Lineage: Eukaryota; Metazoa; Arthropoda; Insecta; Hymenoptera; Apidae. The transcript is spliced from 3 exons. The record is from RefSeq and is a predicted model, not a curated record.
AAACGCGCUUGGGAAACGUUGAAAAAAAGCUUUGCGACAGGGAAACUCGAGGCGAAAAGGACUAUAAGAGGAGAUCUAAGAUUCCCUUAAGAGACUUCAAUUGACUUAAGCAAGUCACCAGCCACGUUUCAUUCGCACAACAACGAGAACAAUUAAGACUAUAUUAAUCAUCUAUUUCUCUCUUUCUUUAUUUCCCUUCUCUUUGACUGAGUCGACAAAUUACGGUCAGUGGCCGUUUUACGGACGCAAAUUCAAUUACCGUUUCGCACAGAGACCGGCCAACAUAAAUAAUUACCAACGAAGCCAGACUCGUGGUCGUUCGGAGGAAGUAAAAUAGAUGAAUAGAAAAAGAGGAAGAGAACUUGUGAUUCUUCGUGGUUUUUGUGAUCGCAAAAAUCCGAUGCUAGCGUUGUAACAGCAUAAAUCAUUGUUAUCUAGUCACAAAUAAUCGAUGUUAUCAUAUAAGAAUUAUUUGAGACUUUGAGACUUUCAUUAUUGAUCAAAUUUAAAACUAGGAAUUUCAAAUUUAUAUAAUGUUGUAUAAUAUUUCAUCUAAAGUGAAUUCAAGUGUUGACUUCUAUAAGUUCAUCUAUGAGAAAAUUAAUUACAUCAUAUUAUAUCAUCUUGAAACCAUUCAAUAUUUAUUUGAAACGUUUUUUGAUACUUUUAAAAACAAACGAUAUUCUAGAUGAUGAAUUUAAAUGAAAAUAGUAAGUUAAAAAAUAUCAUAAUAUAAUAUUUCUUAUUAAGAAAUUUAUUUUAAUGCUAAGCUUUAUCAUGUUUGAAUAAUAGGAUUUAAAAUAUCGAACUUUAUGUGGACGUAACGCUGCUUACAUUCGUUGCUUCGAGGACGCUACUUCAUCUAACAUUUGAACGUUCCCUCUACAAUCGUGUUCUUUUGCAAUAAUACUCCAUAGUAUUUUAUUCUCAGUACCCCCUUUUCUCUACAAUGAGCUCUUUUGUAGCCGUUACUGUAUCGUCUUUUAUCAUUCUUGUUACGUUUUUCAUGUUUCUUACUCAACUGUAGUAAUGAGCAUUCAAUGAAACUCCAGGAUUUUAAAUCGUGCUUUGAAACUUCAAAUGCAUACAAGAUGAAUAUAAUAGAAACUUAAUCAUGGUUUGUGCAAAAUUAAAAAAAAAUAAAGAAUGAAAUAAAUUACCGACAGUAUAAUAUACAUAAACAGAAAGAUUUGAA